RNAcentral lists this ribosomal RNA (253 nucleotides) under uncultured bacterium. RNAcentral describes it as "partial 16S ribosomal RNA". It matches the Rfam family "Bacterial small subunit ribosomal RNA", at positions 524 to 776 of the family's 1533-position model. The record is from RNAcentral.
UACGGGGGGGGCAAGCGUUGUUCGGAAUUACUGGGUGUAAAGGGUUCGUAGGCGGUGCGGCAAGUUGGGAGUGAAAUCUCUGGGCUCAACCCAGAGACGGCUUCCAAAACUGCUGUGCUUGAGUGUGGGAGAGGCUCGUGGAAUUGCAGGUGUAGCGGUGAAAUGCGUAGAUAUCUGCAGGAACACCCGUGGCGAAAGCGGCGAGCUGGACCACUACUGACGCUGAAGAACGAAAGCUAGGGGAGCAAACAGG